Molecule: ribosomal RNA, 459 nt
Filed under: uncultured bacterium
Lineage: Bacteria
Description: partial 16S ribosomal RNA
Rfam family: Bacterial small subunit ribosomal RNA
Source: RNAcentral
CCUACGUGAGGCAGCAGUGAGGAAUAUUGGUCAAUGGGCGCGAGCCUGAACCAGCCAAGUCGCGUGAGGGAGGACGGCCCUACGGGUUGUAAACCUCUUUUGCCGGGGAGCAACGGGCGCCACGUGUGGCGUCACUGAGAGUACCCGGAGAAAAGCAUCGGCUAACUCCGUGCCAGCAGCCGCGGUAAUACGGAGGAGGCGAGCGUUAUCCGGAUUGAUUGGGUUUAAAGGGUGCGUAGGCGGAGCGUUAAGUCAGUGGUCAAAUUGAGGGGCUCAACCCCUUCCCGCCAUUGAAACUGGCGCUCUUGAGUGGAAGAGAAGUAUGCGGAAUGCGUGGUGUAGCGGUGAAAUGCAUAGAUAUCACGCAGAACCCCGAUUGCGAAGGCAGCAUGCCGGCUUCCUACUGACGCUGAAGCACGAAAGCGUGGGGAUCGAACAGGAUUAGAUACCCGGGUAGUC